RNAcentral lists this ribosomal RNA (254 nucleotides) under uncultured bacterium. RNAcentral's name for it is "partial 16S ribosomal RNA". It matches the Rfam family "Bacterial small subunit ribosomal RNA", at positions 524 to 776 of the family's 1533-position model. The record is from RNAcentral.
UACGUAGGGGGCUAGCGUUGUCCGGAAUCAUUGGGCGUAAAGCGCGUGUAGGCGGCCCGGUAAGUCCGCUGUGAAAGUCGGGGGCUCAACCCUCGAAAGCCGGUGGAUACUGUCGGGCUCGAGUACGGGAGAGGCGACUGGAAUUCCUGGUGUAGCGGUGAAAUGCGCAGAUAUCAGGAGGAACACCGGAUGGCGAAGGCAGGUCUCUGGGCAUUAACUGACGCUGAGGAGCGAAAGCAUGGGGAGCGAACAGG